RNAcentral lists this signal recognition particle RNA (249 nucleotides) under human gut metagenome. RNAcentral's name for it is "Bacterial large signal recognition particle RNA". It matches the Rfam family "Bacterial large signal recognition particle RNA". From Rfam's summary of the family: The signal recognition particle (SRP) is a universally conserved ribonucleoprotein involved in the co-translational targeting of proteins to membranes. Archaeal SRP consists of a 7S RNA and homologues of the eukaryotic SRP19 and SRP54 proteins. The record is from RNAcentral.
UACCAGCCGGGGAGGCAGCGGUGUCCUGUACCUGCAAUCCGCUACAGCAGGGGUUGAUCCCCCGUCUGAGGGCCGAACUUCUGCGGACUGGAGCCGCGAAGCACUGCGUUGAAGGAUGGGUCUUGCGCAAUUGGGAGCUGUGAACCAUGUCAGGUGGGGAACCAAGCAGCAUUAAGCGGUCAACCCAAUGUGCCGCGAGGGUGCCUGUCCCGAGCAGUAUUCGUGUGUAUCGCGCGGAAGGGAAGCUCG